Molecule: regulatory RNA element, 110 nt
Rfam family: Alpha operon ribosome binding site
About the family: The bacterial alpha operon ribosome binding site is surrounded by this complex pseudoknotted structure.
Source: Rfam
UCAUAAUAGCGUUGUUUAAGUAUCCUGAAACGGGCUUUUCAGAACAAUGUCAGCAUUUAAAAUCUUAGGAGUGCAUAGUGGCCCGUAUAGCAGGCAUUAACAUUCCUGAU